Molecule: ribosomal RNA, 501 nt
Filed under: uncultured bacterium
Lineage: Bacteria
Description: bacterial SSU rRNA
Rfam family: Bacterial small subunit ribosomal RNA
Source: RNAcentral
AACGAACGCUGGCGGCGCGCCUAAUACAUGCAAGUCGAGCGAGAAGACGUAGCAAUACGUUUGUAAAGCGGCGAACGGGUGAGGAAUACAUGGGUAACCUACCCUCGAGUGGGGAAUAACUAGCCGAAAGGUUAGCUAAUACCGCGUACGCUCCUUGGACUUCGGUUCAGGGAGGAAAGCGAUACCGUGGGUAUCGCGCUCUUGGAUGGGCUCAUGUCCUAUCAGCUUGUUGGUGAGGAACGGCUCACCAAGGCUUCGACGGGUAGCCGGUCUGAGAGGACGAUCAGCCACACUGGCACUGCGACACGGGCCAGACUCCUACGGGAGGCAGCAGUAAGGAAUAUUGCGCAAUGGGCGAAAGCCUGACGCAGCGACGCCGCGUGGGGGAUGAAGGUCUUCGGAUUGUAAACCCCUUUCGGGAGGGAAGAUGGAACGAGCAAUCGUUCGGACGGUACCUCCAGAAGCAGCCACGGCUAACUUCGUGCCAGCCGCCGCAGUAAG